RNAcentral lists this ribosomal RNA (230 nucleotides) under uncultured bacterium. RNAcentral describes it as "partial 16S ribosomal RNA". It matches the Rfam family "Bacterial small subunit ribosomal RNA", at positions 562 to 791 of the family's 1533-position model. The record is from RNAcentral.
AAAGGGCGCGUAGGCGGCGUUUUAAGUCGGGGGUGAAAGCCUGUGGCUCAACCACAGAAUGGCCUUCGAUACUGGGACGCUUGAGUAUGGUAGAGGUUGGUGGAACUGCGAGUGUAGAGGUGAAAUUCGUAGAUAUUCGCAAGAACACCGGUGGCGAAGGCGGCCAACUGGACCAUUACUGACGCUGAGGCGCGAAAGCGUGGGGAGCAAACAGGAUUAGAUACCCGGGU